Molecule: long non-coding RNA, 14290 nt
Filed under: Nicotiana tabacum (common tobacco)
Lineage: Eukaryota; Viridiplantae; Streptophyta; Magnoliopsida; Solanales; Solanaceae
Description: long non-coding RNA (NTAB_LNC003541)
Source: RNAcentral
GAUUUCAGGACCCUAAAAAAUACUCUAAAAGUUUCAGCAAUGCUGUUUUCUUAGCAUUUGGAUCUAAAAUUCUGAUCUCAAAAAGAAAGAAUUUAGAACAAGUUUUCUCUUUGGACGUUUUGGUUUUCAAAAAGUUCAAGCAUGGUUUAAGUUUAGAGUGGCCUUCCUGCUGUGUUUCUGUUGUUGAUUGCACCUGUUGUUUCCUGUUCUCUGUCCAUUUCAGCUUACUAUUUCAUUUUUUUUCCUUUGUAUCCAGGUAAAUCUUAAGCCUUUGAAUGCUGAAUGAAAUAUAAGCAUGUGUUGAAAGAUGUGUUGCUGCUGUUGGAUUUUAAUUUAGCUUCUUUUGAUGUCUUCUUCAAGUCAUAUUUGCUUUUGUUCUUUAGUUUCAUCCCUUCUAGCUUCUACCUCAAUACAUUAAAGCUGCUGUAUUGUUCCUUGAAUUAGCUAGGAUAUUUAGUAUUGAAGGUGUUGAAUAGCUUCUCUUUCAUGUGUUUGAAUUUCAAUUUAGAUAGUUUAGCUUAAAAAAUAUUAAAUUUCAACCUUCUCCUGCAUGUGCUUUUCUUAGGUUAUUUAGCUAUUCAGCUCUUUCAGCUUUUGUACAAAGUGUUUUGGAUCUAUUUUGAUGAUCAGUAGUUUAGUGGUGAAUUUGACAUGUAAAUGUUCAAAUUAAAUAAUAUUUAAAUCGACUCUUCAUGUACUGAUUCAGGACUUCAUGUUUAGUGCGGCUCCAAUAGUUUAGUUGGCUAUAUCUUAAAUGUUGACUAGUGUAUUAUGCAUGUUAAAAAUGCAGUGUUUGGCUGUUAAGUACAUUCAGUUUUAAUUAUUACUAAUUCCAGCAUUUUAAAGUGACUGUUUAUCUCGGUUUAAAAAUAAUUUAUGAAUAGUUUAAGAUUCAAUCUUGUUUUUGUUAUUACUAAAUACAUGAUAAUGAGUUAAGGCCCAACAUGUUAGGCAUUUCGUUUAGGAUUUGUGCAAAUAUUGGUAUACAUGAACUGGCAUGAUUUAAGCCUUAGCAGGCUUUGGCGUUUGAAGUUUUUUUUUUUGUGAUUGGGCCUGGCGAUGCCCCAAACAAGGCUGUCAAGCCAAAAGGAGGCUUCCUUUGUUUCUAUCCUUCUCUGUCUUCACGUUUGGGCUCAGUUUUGAGCCCAGUUGGCAUCAACUUUUAUUUUUCUUUUAUUAACUGCUCUUAAUAAUAUAAUGGGCCUGCUAUCGGCUCAGUUCCUUUCAAAUAACUAAAGACCUCUUUUAUAUUGCCAUACCUAUAAUUAAUAGCCUUAUAUUGAAUUGCAAGAUAGUUUUAAAUAUGAACCCCAUAGUUUUCUUUAAGUGAAAUACAAGUUUUUUAAAAUAAAUCGAGGUGUGUCAUUCAUAAUUGAAUCACCUAAUCUAUGACCCUCACAUUAAUAUUAUAACUUAGGUAUUAAACAUUCUUUAACAUUCGUAGCUUGCUUUAGGCGAGAUUUAGUCUAUUAUUGUGAUUAUGUAUACGUUCGCGUAACAUAGUUAUGAUUUUUUCUAAAAGUAAAUCGAGGUAUGCGUUCGCGAAACUUCGUCCAAACUUUCGUAAUAUUAAUAAAGCGUUAUUAAUAGUGGGCACGUACGCGUGACAUGAUUCUUGACGCGCCAAACAGAAUGAGUAUACGUACGCGUGACUCAUUUCUGGUUAUUUUCUUAAUUAAAAGCGGUAAAAAGUAAUAUACACAUAGGUUCUAAAAAUACGUAAUUAAACAAAUUUAAGCCACGUAUAAAUUUCUAAGCGACCUGCUAGAACCACGGAACCCGAGAAUGCCUGACACGUUCUCCCGGGUCAACAGAAUUCCUUAUCUAGAAUUUCUGGUUCGCAGACUUUUAAAUAAAGUCGAAAAUUUCCUCGAUUUGGGAUUUAAAAAUAAAUCGGUGACUUGGGACACCAAAUAUAAAUUAUUCCAAGUGGCGACUCUAAAAUUAAAUAAAUAAUCCCAUUUCGAUUAAUGUCACUUUAAUUGAAAAAACUCCCUUAUAUUACCCUCGGGUGGUAAAAAGGAGGUGUGACAGACACAGCAUCACAAACCUCAAGGGAAGGUGGACAAACAGACAUAGAUUCAAGGCCUGAUGUCAUCCAAGAGCCAGAAGAAAAUGAAAAUAUCAAAACAACAAUAGAAGAACUCGAGGGUAUCACACUUUCUGAGUAGUGGCCAGAUAGAAAAGUUUAUACCGAAAUGAAGCUAAGCCCAGAAAUGAAAGGUAAACUUGUCAAAUUUUUACAAGCUAACACAUAUUGCUUUGCUUGGUCGCAUUUAGAGGUAUCUCACCGGAGGUGAUGACCCACAAGCCAAAUGAAGAUCCAUCUUAUCCACCUGUCAAACAGAAGAAAAGAAAGCAAGGAUCCUUAAAAAAUCAGGUGAUCCAGGAUAAAGGACAAAAACUUUUAAAAAUUGGGUCCAUAUGAGCGGUAAAAUAUCCUAAAUGGCUAGAUAAUAUUGUAGUAGUACCAAAAAAGAAUGAAAAAUGGCAAGUUUGUGUAGAUUAUAUUGACUUAAAUAAAGCUUGUCCUAAAGACUCAUUUCCUUUACUGCAUAGACACAAAUCUUCCAACUCUUGGAGUGUACCCCCUUUUUAGCCAUUUUCAAAAGGGCACACUCUCUCCUGGUAGGGCUUUUUAGUGAAGGAAAAUUGAUUGUAUUUCUACUCUUGUCCUUUGAGAAGCCAUUGUUCAUGUGUCAUUAUUGGUUGCUCCCCUUCACUACUCUCUGCACACUAAAAUCAAGGAUUAGAUUUAGGAACCCAAACGAGUUUGGGUCCCUUUUUAAGAGAAAAGGGAUGAAUGAGUGCUCUCUUAGUCCAAGCAAGCGAAAUGCAUUUUCUAUUUGAGGGUUUCCUAUUUAAAGGACCAGGUCCUCUUGCAGUAGUUGCUCUCUCAGCAAAGACUUUAUUUUUAUGAUGAGACUGAACCUUGGCCAAGAAAUUUUCCUUGAGGUGUUGCUGUAGCCAAAAGACACAAGAGUAAUUAUGUUGCUGUGAUUGAGCUUGUGUAGAGUGGAGAUAUAAGUUGGUUGAAAGCUAUUGAAGACAAUGCUGAACUAUGAGACAAAAGACUGGAGCAUUGUAAGUUGUCUGUCUCUAAACAAACUGGAUUUGAAGAACCUGGUUCGUGGUCUGAUCAAGUUGAGCAACAAGUAACAUGAAGUGUGAAAUGCCUGUGCAAAAGGAAAGCAUGUCAUAUGUUCAUUCAAGCCCAAAAGGGGGAGAUAGCACUUCAGAACCAAGGAUGAGAUCUUUCGAGAAACUGUGGCUUUUUUCAAGAAGAUCCAGGUACAGAUAGAAACAAAUGCGGCUUGCAUUGGAUCAAAUCAUGGAACAAGUUUGGAUAAUGCCAUAAGUGGAUGAAUUCUAUAUUCAAAGAAGAAUUACUCAACCACUUAGCUCAAAAAACACCACAUCAGAUGGAGUUGUUGAAAAGAAGAAAAUGACUCUUGAAAAUUGGGCACGGUCAAUAUUAAUUGACAAGGGUUUCCUACACAAUGCUUCUAACUAAGCUAAGUAGGAGUUAAAAGUGAAGAACAAAAUCAUAAAGACUCAGCAAUCCUAAGGACUUAAGAUAACUUCAAUCUUUGGAUCUGAUCCUUGAGGUUGCAGUAGCUUUGUUCUUGAGAGAUAUGGUGGCUAGCACUUGAGAGAGAAUUUUCUUUUCAUUUGCAAGUGUUCAAGUAAUUGUUUUACCUUCCUUGAUGUUAAUAAUAAAUGUGUGACAUCACUUAUAAUGAUGUAAGCAAGGUAGGUAAAAAGAUUUCCACAGAAAUUUGACUGCUGCACUGUUCCUAUACUGUAGCGUGUGCAGCCAGCAACUUUCCAACUGGAGAGUUGACUUCGUACAAUCACCUCAGGAACUGGUAGGAACCUGUUCCCUUAGCUGUUCCUUCGACUCUGAAGAGUUGAGCCAUAUCCCAAACGGGAUCCCAACCUUAAACCUUGUGAUCUUAAGGUCUUGAGAAUGUUUAAAGCUGUAGAGUUGAAUAUUUGAUAACUAGGGGAACUGAUCCAUAUCUGUUCCCUUAUCUGAUUUCUUUGAGAAUUAAACCAGACAUCUAACUGGUUACUUUAAACUCAAGAGAACUAAUUUUAUCAAGUUCCUUAUCUGGUUCUCUCAUGAAGUUUGUCAAAUCAUCAAAACAAAAGACGCAUAACUUAUCAUAGAUCAACUCAUUGAUUCUAUUGCAAGACAUGAAUUGUUGAGUUCUUUAGAUGCCUAUUUAGGAUAUAAUUAGAUAAAGAUGGAUACUUUAGAAGAGGAAAAAAUAUCCUUUAUCAUAGAUAGGGGGCUUACUGUUAUAAAGUCAUGCCUUUCAAAUUAAAGAAUGUUGGAGCCACGUACCAAAGAUUGGUAAUAAAAAUGUUCCAAGAACACCUGGGAAAAACUAUGGAAGUCUACAUUGAUGACAUGAUGGUCAAGUCAGCACAGGCGGGGGAUCAUAUCCAAUAUUUGUCAAAUACUUUUCAGAUUCUCCGCACGUUCAAUAUGAAGUUAAAUCCCAAAAAAUGUGCCUUUGGCUUGGCUUAAGGUAAGUUUUUAGGUUUACUUGUUUCCAGCUGAGGUAUUGAAGUAAACCCUUCAUAGAUCAAAUCCAUUGAAGAAAUACUAGACAUACUCACGAGCAAAAAAAAGGAGCGAGGCUGAUAGGUAGGAUAACAACUUUGGGAAGGUUUAUUUCUAUGUAUUCGGAGAAAAGUUUUAAGUUCUUUUUAGUGUUGAAAAAGCAAAAACAAUUCGAGUGGACUGAUGAAUGUCAACAAGCACUCAAAUACUUGUCAAACCCACUGUUACUGGCUAAACCAAAGGAUGGAGAAAGGCUACUCAUCUAUCUCGUUGUAUCAUAAAUGGUGGUAAGUGCAGUAUUAGUACGUGAAGACAAAGGUAAACAAACUCCAAUCUAUUAUGUUAGAAAAUCUUUAUUGGAUGCUGAAACUCAAUAUCCGCACUUAUAAAAACUUUCUUUAGCAAUAAUUAUGGCAUCUAGAAAGUUGAGGCCUCAUUUUCAAUGUCACCCUAUCUCUGUAGUAACUACUUACCCCUUAAGAAAUAUAUUGCAUAGGCAAGAACUGCCAGGUAGGUUAGCCAAAUGGUCUAUAGAACUCAGUGAAUAUGAUGUCGUGUACCAACCUAGAACUGCGAUAAAAUCACAGGUUUUAGUAGAUUUUGUGGCAGACUUCAGCCUAGGGAUAGUUCCUGAAGCAGAAAAGGAACUACAAGUAUUCAUCGCAUCUAAUCCGGGUACUUGGACCCUAUUUACUGAUGGCGCCUCGAAUGUUAAAGGAGCGGGUUUAGGCAUUAUUCUAAACCCACCUUCAGGAGAAACCAUAAUGCAAGCAAUAAAGUAGCAUCCCAUUACUAACAAUGAAGUAGAAUAUAAAAUUGUAAUUGCAGGUCUGGAAUUGGUACGAGAGCUCAGAAUAGAGCAGAUUAUAAUCAAAAGUGACUCGCAGCUUGUAGUUAAUCAGAUGAAGGGGACUUAUAUAGCUAGAGAGGCACGGAUACAACAAUACUUGGAAAAAACACGAGAAUUAAUCAAACAAUUCCAAUUAUGGAAAAUCGUGCAAAUACCCAAGGAGGAAAAUGCGGAAGCAGACGUGUUGGUUAAUCUCGCAUCUGUUGCAGAAGUAACGAAUGAAGAAAAUGCUAGAAUAAUAUAUUUGUUUCAUUCGGCACUCGAUCAGGAUAAAUAUGAGGGAAAUUUCAAUAAUUUAACUUGAGAUUGGAGAAAGGAGUUCGUUAAUUUCCUACAGUACGUGAUUUUACCUGAAAACAAGAAAAAGGCUCAAUCACUUCGACAAAAAGUUGCCCGUUAUUGUUUGGUUCGUGGAAAUUUGUAUCGAAAGAUGUUUAGAGGGCAUUUAGCAAGAUGUCUCAGACCUUCUCAAAUAGAAUAUGUGAUGAUAGAAGUACAUGAGGGACACUGUGGAAAUCAUGCAGGAGGAAGAUCAUUGGUAAGAACUUUAAUUAGAGCAGGAUAUUAUUGGCCAAAAAUGGAAGAAGAUGCAGAAUGUUUUAUGGCCAAAUGUGACAAAUGCCAAUGAUAUGGCAACAACAUGCAUUGCCCAGCGGAGCUAUUGCAUCCGGUUAUUUCACUAUGGCCUUUUAUGAAAUGGGGGAUAGAUAUCGUGGGUCUACUACCACAAGCCAAAGGAAAAGUAUGAUUUUUAUUAGUAUUAACAGAUUAUUUUACCAAGUGGGUAGAAAUAGGUGCCUUCAAACAGGUGCGGGAAAAAGAAACUAGGGACUUUAUUUGGCGAAACACCUAUGGCCCACCUAUGGCCUGCAAUUCAUAGGUGCGAAAAUCACAUAAUUCUUUAAGAGUUGGCAGAUUAAAAGGAUAACUUCAACACCUUACCAUCCUAUGGCUAAUGGAAAAUCCGAAUCGACAAACAAAAUUAAUAUUAAUAACUUCAAGAAAAUAUUAGAGGAGUCAAAAGGUCAGUGGCCAGAAGUGUUACCAGGAGUCCUAUGGGCUUACCGAACGACAACAAAAACAGGUACGUGAGAGACUCCAUUUUGACUUGUGUAUGGUGAUGAAGCCUUAAUCCCAAUUGAAAUAGGCAAACCAAGUACAAGAUAUACCCAAGCAACUGAAGAAUCAAAUGAGGAAGAGAUGCGAAUAAAUCUAGAUUUGCUUGUAGAAAGAAGAGAAGCGGCUCUAAAAAGGAUGGCAGCACAGAAACAAAUUAUUGAGCGAUACUACAAUCGAAAAACUCAUCUUAGAUACUUCAAGAUUGGGGACUUCGUGCUCAAAAAGGUUUUUCAAUCGACAAAAGCAGCCAAUGUAGGAAAGUUUAGUCCAAAUUGGGAAGGACCCUAUAUGAUUCGAGGCAUUGUUGGAAAGGGUGCUUAUGAGUCGGAAACCAUGGAGGGAAAAGUACUACCUUCGAAUUGGAAUGAUAUUCAUUUGAAGAAAUAUUAGGAAAUACCCACGAUCAGGUAUCGCUUAAUUAUGAUUUUAUUUUGUUCUGUUAAAUUAUACUAAUAAUUUUAGAUGAUAGGCAAAAAUCUAGCCCACACCAAAUGAUGAUAUUAGACCUGAAAGAUAUGCGGUAUACAAAAUUAUUCUCGGUUCUAGUUACAACCUUUUUGAUGGAGAUAAAAAGGGUUAAGCAAUCAUCAUCUAAAAAUAUACCUCCGAGUCCCAUAUGUAUUUUCUUUUUCAGGAAAUGGACCAAAUAGAAGGAAUAAUCAAGUGCUCGAGAUCAUACUUCAAAGCUCUAACACUUGGGGGACUAUAGAUAUGAAGGCAAAGAAGACUGAAAGUCAGAGAAGACUAAAAGUCAGAAUUCAAGCGUGGAUCAACCCAAAAAUCAAAAGUCAAGAGCCAAAAAACAAGCCUGAUUCAAAAACCUUUGUAAUAAGGUUUGAUAAAGUAUAAACUCGUCGACAUAAAUUACAAGAUCCUGCGAGUACUUAGGUUAAGGGUAAUGAUUAGUCAUGGGUUGCAAGAUACACCCUAGAAAAUUUUGAAAUUUUUUAAGAAAAAUAGUUAUGAAAGAGUUGUAGAUGUCAUACAAAAAGUUGAUUGAAUACUUGUAAAGUGUUAUGUAAUUUAAAAGUUCAAAACAUGAAACUUCCUCAAAUUAUUCAUGAAACUUCUUCAAAAUAUGUAUUUUCCUACUUCUCUCAUAUACUUAUAUCAUUAUGAAGUUGAGACUCUUCUUCACUAGUAUCGUUUAUAAAAGGGCCCUAUUUUAUAAAAUUUGUGUCUAUGCCAAAAUCACGAAAUAUUAAAACAUUUUUAAAUGCAAGUCAAAAGAGUAAAACAAAAACUUAAAUUAAACAAAAGAUCAUAUAUUAAACUUGGAUAAAACUAAGUAUAUACUUAGUUAAAACCAAAAUAUUUGUUUGAUAAACAAACCCCAAAAUGAACCUGUGGUAAAAACUAACCAACCAUUCUAUAAAGUAAAAAAAAACUUCCCAUCAAAAGUUCAAUAACAAACUAAGUUCUGAAAUAACACUAAGGGGAAGAAUCCAAUAUGGCAUCAUCAACAACGGGAGAAAAUUCAACUUGAGUAGAAGAAGCUUGAAUACCAGCUUCACCAGGAACAAGUUCAUCACCUUCGGGAAUUCCAUCUUCAGGUGAAGGAAAGUCUUGACUUUGCUAAGUUUUUUCGAUUGCCUCUUUAGCUUUAGCAAUUUCAGCACUGAAAUCAAAACCCUCCUGGAUGGCUUCCAUUAAGGUCUCGAGGUGAGUAUUCAGAAAAUCUCUACUUACGUCAAGUGACAUCUUAUCCUCGAGAGCCUCAUAAUCUCUCUCCCACUGAUCGAUUUCAGUCAUCGACUCCACCUUUUUUAUUUUAGAAGCGUCAAAAGUUGCCUUCAAAUGAGUUAGAGAAAUUUCUAAGAACUUAACCUUAUCAGCAGAGGCACGAAGGUCUUUUUGAGUUUGAGUUAAAGUUUGAAUUAACUCUCCUGAAUAAGCCUCUUUUUGGUUAAGGAGUUCCCUCAAACCCCUUAUCUCAUCAGUUUCCUUUGAAAGCUGCUCAUCAAAAGAAGACUCAAGGAUAUCCUUAUCUUUACCAACUUGGCUUGAAGAAUAUUUUUCAAUUGCCAAUUGAGCAGCGAUCACAUGCAUUUGUUGCUCUAAGGCAUCCUUCUCCUCUGUCAAUACUUCCUUCUACAGUUGAAGACCUUCAAACUACUCUUUCCAAUUGUCAGCUUUGGUACGAUAAUCAACAAUUUGUUGGUCAGCAUGAACAAUUCUUUUCAUAAGUUUCGUGCCUAUCAAGUUGAUCUACAAAAGAAAAUAAAGAAGCGAUUUUCAAACAAAAGUAAAUAACCACGAGGAAAAGAAAGGAAAAGGCUAAAACUUGAACCUUCAAAGAUGAAUGAACAAUAUCAUUCAUCCAUGUCAAGGAGCUGUGGCUUUCCAACUUUGACUUCUCAACUGGGCCAAGUAGAGGUUUCAACCAAACGUCAGCUUGACCAAAGUUUUUCAACAGAUUACCACCUUCAGGGACUUCUAUGGUAAAAUAUUUUCAUCACCCUAUUGCUACUACAAGUAUCAACUUCAACAUGAGAAGUAGUUGAGGAAGUGAAAGUAGCCACGGGAGGAGUAGUAGCAGCAGCAACAGCAACAGAAACAGUAGAUUAAGAACAAAUUCGGACUAAUGCUGGAAGAGGAGCAAGGGGUAAUUCUUCAGAAACGGGACCAAAAUAUUCACUAUCAAAAUCACGGGAAAAUAGCUGAUCAGUAGAGUCAUGAGGGGGAGCAUUCAUCUCUUCAUCAAAAAUCACUAAAGUAGCACUUUCAGGCUCAUUCAAAGGAACUAAACUUUGAGGAUGGGUGGUUUCAUCAUCUGAAAUAAUGCGCCUCCUAGCCUAAGGCCUAUGCACUAAGGGACCUUUUUCUUGUUCCUCCUCACCUUUAGAGCUACGAGCUCCGUCUACUUUUCUCUUUCAUGAAGAGUUCAGAAUCCUUUCUUGAGAAAGACUUACUGUAAGUUUUGUAGAUGAAACAGAAGCGGUAUUAACACCACGAAUGGGAAAUCCUAACAAAAGAAAAAGUUCACGGUGAGAAACUCUUAAGUUAGCAAAAGAGAAAAAGAAGAAGACUAAGCGAGAAAAAGUACCGUGUGUUUUAACUUUCCACCAAAAUCUCUGAGAGAGAUACUUCCAAGAUCUUCUCGCCAUAGGGGCAACAGAUACCAACUUUCCUACCCUAGCACGGAAGUUGGGGAUUUCCUAAAAAACUUCCAUAGUUGCUGAAAAGGAAGGGAUGAGAAUACCUGAGAAUCAAUUUUGAGAAAGGAAAAAAAGGUGAAAUGCAAAUACUUACGUACACAAUUUCACUUUUCUGGAAAAGGCAUAUUUCUUCACCCACCAAAGCACUAGUGGGAGCAGCAAUGAAGCGAGCAUACCAGCCUUGAUCUUUAUCAUCUUUAGGGCUAACUAAUACUCUCUUACUUUUGGACACAAGGGAAAAAAAUCCUUUACGAAAUAGUUUAGGGGAGUAAAGAUGGAGUAGGUGACGAAAAUUAAAGGUCAUAGAAGCCAAGUUUGACAAAUGGCAUGCAACAGCUCUCCAAACAGUAGGACCAAUCUGCCCUAAACACACAUUGAACUAACGAUAGAACUCAAUGAUUACUGGUUCAAUAAGAGGUCUAAAUCCUAGGGUAAAAGGAUAUGUAUAAACGAAGGAAUAACCAGUUAGGUAUGAAGUUAUUCUUCGGUUGGCACCAGGAACUAAAAUUGGGAAAUCAGGUUUCCAAUUACAUUCUCUUCGAACCAGAGCAAGAAAACCAGUAGUAAUCAAAGUUGGGUAACAAUCAACACGAUCAAGGGAAGAAGCCAUGGAAGAAAAUUUACUCUUCAUAGAUUCAGUAUCAGUUACAAAGGAUAGUUCUUAAGGAACAAUUUCAUCAAUAGUGGGUUCACGUAGAGCUUCAUGUAACGACUAGACUGGUCGUUUUGAGCAAUUGCAUCUGGUUUGGUAGUUUUAGGUCACGAGCAGCUUCAUAUUAUGUAUAUAGACUUGCUUGCCUGGUUGAAUUCAGCUAUCAGAUAAUUCAGAGUCAAAAUGGGAGAAGGAAUCUAGUUUUGGAAGCUUAAGCGGCGAGAAUUUGACCAGAACUGGACUUUUGAGUAAACGGCCCCGGAAUGGGUUUUGGGUGAUCUCAACAGCUUUGUAUGGUAAUUUUGGACAUAGGAAAGCAUGCGGAUUCGGAUUUGGAGGUCCGUAGAGUAAUUUGAGGCGUUUCGGCGAAAGUUGGAAAAUUGGAAGUUUGGAAAAUGGAGAAGUUUGACUCAUAGUUAACUUUUGUGAUAUCGGAGUCGUAAUGAGAUUCUGAGAGUUGGAACAGCUUCGUUAUGUCAUUUUGGACUUGUUUGCAAAAUUUGGCGUUAUUCCGGGUUGAUUUAAUAGGUUUCGGCAUACGUUUUGGAAGUUGGAAGAUUGGAAAGUUCCUAAGUUCGAUUCAUGGUGUGAAUCGUUGUUUCAGUGUUUUUUUAUGUGAUUUGAGACCUCGAGCGAGUCCAUGUUAUGUUAUAUGACUUGUUUGUGUGUUUAGAUGGGUCUCGGGGGCUUCGGGUGUGUUUCGGGUGGGCUACGGGUCAUUUUUCCUUGUUUUUGAACUGUUGUUUUCUGCUUCUGGUAUCCUCUUUCACGAUCGCAAACCGCCUUUCGUGUUCGCGAAGCUUUGUUGCUGACUACAUGUAAAUCCUUCUUCAUAUUCACAUUUAACACCUAUUAUUUGCAAAGCUCUGCCUUCUCCUUCAUCGCGUUCGUGUUCCCCUCACGCGUUCGCGUAGUUAUGCCUUUCCACUCUUCGCGUUCGCGUACUAGUUCACGUGUUCGCAAAGAACAGUCUCUGGGCCAUAAUAUUUUUCUUCUUUGUGUUCGCAGAUGUGUUGUCGCAUUCGCGAUGAGUAACCUAGGCACCUUCCUUUUCUUUCUUCGUGAACGCGAUACUUCCUUCGCGUUCGCGAUGCUUUAAGACCUUGGCAAAAUAAAUAGUACUCUAUUCCGAGGGUUUGCUAUUUUCACCAUAUUUGGAGUUCAAGAGCUCGGUUUCGGGCGAUUCUUUGUGGGUUUUUCAAGCAAAACGAUUGAGUAAGUGUUCUUCACCUAGAAUUGAUUAUAUUCCAUGCUUUUCUCUUCCCUUUUAUCAUUUAAUUUGUGAUUUGGGUUAAGGAAAAUGUUGGUUUUUGAAGAAAAAUUCUAAAAUGAAAAAUCAUGAUUUGAGGGACCAAAUGGUAUCGGAAUUUGAUAAAUUUUGUAUGGUUGAACUCGUAUAGGAAUGGGUAUUCGAUUUUUGUUAAAUUUGUCGGGUUCUGAGGUGCGGCCCUAGGGGUCGACUUUUGGACUGAUUUUUGGAUUUUGUUAAAGAUUGAUACUUUAUGAUCCAUAAUAGUUUCUUAUGUGUUUUAUUUGUGCUUUGAAGUUAAUUUUGUUAGAUUUGAGCCAUCCGGAGGUUUUUCAAUCGAGAAGUGCAUUUUAGUAUAUCGGUUUGUCGUCUUUGAGGUAAGUAUCUUGCCUAACCUUAUGUAGGGGACUUCGCCUUAGGAUUUGAGUGUUCUAUGCUAAUUGUAAUCCGUGCAUGCGAGGUGGCGAGUGUGUGGUCGGACUUAUUUGUGGAAAAUUUGCCUCUAGGGUUCUUAGGUCCUUAUGUUCAUUAUGUGGAAAGUAUUCAGUUAUAAUUGAGUUUCCUAAUUGCUUAAAUUACCUCUAUAUGCUCCCUAUGAUGUUGUUAACUUUCCUCUAAUUCAUACGUGUUACUUGUCCCUUAAUUACCUUAAUUGAAGUGAUUGCCUUCCGUAUUGUUUUGAUACUUCUUGAUUGUGAGUUCCUCUAUGACUUCGUGCAAAAAUGUUACAUGUCCAAUUGUUAUGGUUACCUGUGUAGUUAUCACGUGCUUAUUAUGUCUUGUUGUUUUGUUGAGGUUAUUAUGCUUCUUGGUUUUUCUUUGAUCCUUAUUAUGUACUAUUCAUGCUUAAAUUAACAAUUAUUCAUAUUGAACAAGACUUAUGACAUUCUCUUGGUAAUUAUCCAUUUUUGAGUAUUGACUCGAGUUGAGAUCUAUAUUGCAAAGCUAAUUGUUGAAACGAGAUUGGUUAUUGUUGAUUCUCUUGACGGGAGGUUAUUGUUUCUAUUGUGGAUUCCUUUGGCGGGAUGUUAUUGUUUUUAUUGUUGAUUCCCCUGUCGGGAUGCUAUUGUUUCUAUUGUUGAUUCCUUUGCCGGGAUGUUAUUGUUUCUAUUGUUGAUUCCCUUGCCGGGAUGCUAUUGUUUCUAUUGUUGAUUCCCUUGCCGGGAUGUUAUUGUUCCUAUUGUUGAUUUCCUUACCGGGAUGUUAUUAUUUCUAUUGUUUGGGUAAGGAAGAGUGUAAAGCACGAAGGGUGAUGCCGUGUAUGAUAUUGUGAGGAAGAGUGUAAAGCACGAAGGGUGAUGCCGCGCAUCAUAUUGUGAGUGAGUGUUAAUGCACGAAGUGUGAUGCCGUGCCGAUAUUGUGAGUGUAAAAGCACGAAGGGUGAUGCCGUUCCACAUUAUUGAGAGUAAAAGCACGAAGGGUGAUGUCGUGCCACGAUUAUGAGAGAGUUAAAGCACGAAGGGUGAUGUCGUGCAUAUUUCUAUUUAUGCAUAUGGUGAGGAAUAGUGAUAAAGCACGAAGGAUGAUGUCGUGCACUUUCUGUUUGUUGUGUUUAUUUGUGAUUAUCAAUUUAAAUGUUUUAAUUGUUCAGAUUCCUUUACUACUGUGAUCAUUGUGGUGGAACCCCAUAGUGUUUUGAAUACUUCACCGUAUUUAUAUAUAUUUUCAAUACUUCAAAUUUCAAUAAUUGUUUCAUUUUUAAUUCAAUUAGUUACUCAAUUAAAUCCUCUUAAACCGUCUGAGGUUGUAUUUUUCUUAAAAAGGAAUUUCUACUAAGUUAAUUUCUUAAAUCCCAUGUUAAAGAUAAUAAUUAAUUCGAUGUUGUAUUUUAAUUGAAAAUGGUACUUUCUUUAUUCAAAUGAUUUCUAAAAAUCACUUCAUCUUUUCUUGCUGAGUUCCUAAUUGGAUAAGAAGUUGUACUAUACUUUAUGUUAUGUAAAUGAGACUCCUGAAACAUCUUAAUUGCAUUGGUUGUGUGUUCUAUGUACUGAGUAAUAGGAGAACGUUGUUGUGCAAACUGAGACAAAAUAUGUGGCCACAAGGUUCCGGGUGUUCUAAAGGUUUGGAAGUUGGGGUUAUGAUAUGAGGUAUCGAGUUCUGAGAUGGCUAAGGUUGUGCACCAGAAACGAUAUGAAUGAUUGAGUUGACACUGUCUUCCUUGCUUGAGUUCACUCUACUUCUCUGUGUUCCAGCUAUGUUAGCAUUGAUUUACCUGGUUAUCUUUCAUUUCCAUCCGAGUUUCCUUUUAUUAUUUUGACUAUUUGUAGAUUGAUUUAUCCCUGCUGUUGAUAUUACUUCUUUACCUUUAUCUUGAUAUUUGUUAUCAUAUCCUGUUUAAUCUGUCUGACUAGUAGGUGUCUUGACUGUUCCUCGUCACUACCCCACCGAGGAUAGUCUUGAUACUUACUGGGCACCACCGUGGUGUGCUCAUACUACACUUCUGUACAUUUUUGUGUACAGAUCCAGGUAUUCGAUCGGUAGUAGUUGUGCGGGUUGUUGCGAUGGAGACUCAAGGUAAACCUGAUGCAGCGUUCGCAGGCCUCGGAGUCACCUUCAUUUGUACUUAUUUCCAUUUGUUUCUUUUGUUUCGGAACAAUGAUGUAUUUAUUUUGUAUAACUACCCUUAGAAAAGCUUAUGACUUGUACCACCGAUUUUGGGAGUUGUAAUUUGUUAGGAGUUAUUUAAAUU